UUAUAUCGUCACGGGAGCUUGGUGGGACCAGGCUGAGAGGAUAGUUAUAACUAUCGACCGUCAAACCUGAUCUGGAUAAUGCCAGCGGAGGAAAUGGAGUUUUAUUUCUA
Molecule: non-coding RNA, 110 nt
Filed under: Paenibacillus antarcticus
Lineage: Bacteria; Bacillati; Bacillota; Bacilli; Caryophanales; Paenibacillaceae
Description: TPP sequence
Rfam family: TPP riboswitch aptamer (THI element)
About the family: Vitamin B(1) in its active form thiamin pyrophosphate (TPP) is an essential coenzyme that is synthesised by coupling of pyrimidine and thiazole moieties in bacteria.
Source: Rfam by way of RNAcentral